RNAcentral lists this ribosomal RNA (253 nucleotides) under uncultured bacterium. RNAcentral's name for it is "partial 16S ribosomal RNA". It matches the Rfam family "Bacterial small subunit ribosomal RNA", at positions 524 to 776 of the family's 1533-position model. The record is from RNAcentral.
GACGAACCGUACGAACGUUAUUCGGAAUUAUUGGGCGUAAAGCGUCCGCAGGUGGCUGUGUAAGUCUGCUGUUAAAGAGCAAAGCUUAACUUUGUAAAAGCAGUGGAAACUACACAGCUAGAGUGCGUUCGGGGCAGAGGGAAUUCCUGGUGUAGCGGCGAAAUGCGUAGAGAUCAGGAAGAACACCGGUGGCGAAGGCGCUCUGCUAGGCCGCAACUGACACUGAGGGACGAAAGCUAGGGGAGCGAAUGGG